RNAcentral lists this transfer RNA (75 nucleotides) under Triticum aestivum (bread wheat). It matches the Rfam family "tRNA". Rfam says of the family: Transfer RNA (tRNA) molecules are approximately 80 nucleotides in length. Their secondary structure includes four short double-helical elements and three loops (D, anti-codon, and T loops). Lineage: Eukaryota; Viridiplantae; Streptophyta; Magnoliopsida; Poales; Poaceae. RNAcentral also lists the same sequence under 1 other name. The record is from Rfam by way of RNAcentral.
GGGAUUUUAGUUUAAUUUUUUCAGAGCACCACUCUGUCAAGGCGGAAGCUGCGGGUUCGAGUCCCGUUUGUCCUG